RNAcentral lists this ribosomal RNA (468 nucleotides) under uncultured bacterium. RNAcentral describes it as "partial 16S ribosomal RNA". It matches the Rfam family "Bacterial small subunit ribosomal RNA", at positions 28 to 507 of the family's 1533-position model. The record is from RNAcentral.
GACGAACGCUGGCGGCGUGCUUAACACAUGCAAGUCGAACGGAAAGGCCCUGCUUUUGUGGGGUGCUCGAGUGGCGAACGGGUGAGUAACACGUGAGUAACCUGCCCUUGACUUUGGGAUAACUUCAGGAAACUGGGGCUAAUACCGGAUAGGAGCUCCUGCUGCAUGGUGGGGGUUGGAAAGUUUCGGCGGUUGGGGAUGGACUCGCGGCUUAUCAGCUUGUUGGUGGGGUAGUGGCUUACCAAGGCUUUGACGGGUAGCCGGCCUGAGAGGGUGACCGGCCACAUUGGGACUGAGAUGCGGCACAGACUCCUACGGGAGGCAGCAGUGGGGAAUGUUGCACAAUGGGCGGAAGCCUGAUGCAGCAACGCAGCGUGCGGGAUGACGGCCUUCGGGUUGUAAACCGCUUUCGCCUGUGACGAAGCGUGAGUGACGGUAAUGGGUAAAGAAGCACCGGCUAACUACGUG